Equus caballus (horse) is the source of this 1828-nucleotide non-coding RNA. NCBI's taxonomy places the organism in Eukaryota, Metazoa, Chordata, Mammalia, Perissodactyla, Equidae. The record is from RefSeq and is a predicted model, not a curated record.
UUGAAGCUGAUCAUACAUGUAAUUACAUUUUUCAACAUCAUUUAUGAUUUGGUAUUUUAAUAAAUAUGAGUCUGGUCUGAAUUCUAAGUUUAAAUUAGGCAGAGAAAACAAGAGAAGGAAAUGCCAGGCAUUAUUUUACGAUGAAUAAGAGAUAACAUACAGAGGUCCAUGGGUGUUCAAUAGUACUAAGUUCAUGUCAACAGAAGCUUAGAAAAUUGAUCCUCUUUUGACAGGGAAACAAAAGGAUAAAUUAACAUAUGGUAUCAGAGCUGAAAUAGGACAUAAAAUUUCUUUUUGCUCGAACUCGCUACCUUUUUUAGAUGAAAUCUUGAGAGAUCACAUAUGUAGACUUUUAAUAUACAUAAUUUAGUUCAGAAAUUUUGCUCAGUUUGCUUGUCUACAAUGAUUAAAAUAGCUAGAUAAAGUAAAACUAUAGAAAGAGUGAAAUGAUCGGUGGUUGUCAGCAGUUCAGGAGUGAGGGUUAGAUAGAGGAAGCACAGGGGAUUUUCAGGACACUGAAAUUAUCCUGUAUGAUACUGUAAUGGUGGACACAAGACAUCAUGCACUUGUCAAAAUACAUAAAAGCAUACAUCACAAAGAGUGAACCUUAAUGUAUGCUGCUGUGAGCUGAAUGUGUCCUUCCACACUGUCCCCCUACUCCCAAAUUCAUAUGUUGAGACCCAAACCACCAGUGUGACUAUAUUCAGAGAUAGGGUGUUUAGGCGGUAAUUAAAGUCAAAUGAGGUCACAAUGGUGGGGCCAUAAUCUAAUAGGAUUGGUGGCCUUAUAAGAGGAAAAAGAGAGGGAACUCUCUCUCUGUCUCUCUGCCUCUCCCUCCCUCCCUCCAUGUGCACACACUGAGGAGAGGCCAUGUGAGGACACAGUGAGACAGUGACCAUUUGCAAGACAGGAAGAGAGCUGUCACCAGAACCUGAACCCUGCAGGAACCUUGAUCUUGGACUUUCCAGCCUCCCGAACUAUCGAAUCAGCCAUCUCCACGGAAACCAGGAACAGAGAUGAGAUUAUUCCAAAGAGAUGCUGUCAGUUUGGACCAAAGGGAAUAGGAUGGGACAAUAGAGCUAUGUGGCUGUGCUAUUCUUCAAGAAAAAGGAGGACUGACUCCAAAGGAGUACAGAUGAACAAUUCUGAUACUGCUAUACAUGUAUGCUGGAAUAGAACAAUUAGAUGAGUUGGCCUAAAAGAAAGGACAGUCCAGUAGCAACAAGCGCACCCAGUACGAAGAUCUUGGUUUGUAAUACCAUUCUCUGCUAAAAGAAGUCGGAUUCCUCGGAGAAAGGACUGAUCGUAGGACUGCAGCAAGAAAUACCCAAGACGAGCCUGGAGCAUCUUGUGGUGCCAGGAAGUAAGGAAGUGCUCAAAGGAGAGCAACAUUUGGAAUAGCUCAAGCUGCUGAGUUAAUCAUCGAGACGCCAUGGGGAUGUUUUAAGCUGUGGGCCUACCCACCUCGUAUGAUUUGGUGUCAACACAUCCACUGGACUGAGUAAGGCAAGCACUGCAGCUUGUCCGAGGCGGAGGAAUCAGAUUUGCUACCUUCCAAUUUUCCCAUCUCUGUUUAAAGCAUCCACGCCAACGAUGAUGGUCAGGAAGACCAAGAUACCUGGAACGUCAACUAGAAAAAGAAUUAAAGAGAGAAUUUCUACCUUUCCUUUCCAGGUAGCAAUGAUAUUGUAAAAAUUUCUUUGACAUUCUUUAAGAAAAUCUCAAAAGCAUUUUUCUUUUCUCUUAUUUCUAUGAUGAUUUGUCUUAAAUUUCUCCUAUUGUGGCACGGUUGUUUAAUACACUGGAAUUAAAGUAUUAGAACAAAUAA